This 130-nucleotide small nucleolar RNA is filed under the name Serinus canaria (Common canary). Its description in RNAcentral is "Small nucleolar RNA SNORA56 (ENSSCAG00000016981.1)". Lineage: Eukaryota; Metazoa; Chordata; Aves; Passeriformes; Fringillidae. The record is from RNAcentral.
GAGCAGACAGUUAUCCCUUUUUAGCCUGCUGUGGUUUUAGAGGGAGUCAGUCUGCUAAAUUAAAUGGGGGAGGCCGUGCUGUUCCCAGCCCAGCUGGCCCUGGUGCAGGCUGCAGGUCUCCCCUACACCA